Molecule: ribosomal RNA, 254 nt
Filed under: uncultured bacterium
Lineage: Bacteria
Description: partial 16S ribosomal RNA
Rfam family: Bacterial small subunit ribosomal RNA
Source: RNAcentral
UACGAAGGGGGCUAGCGUUGUUCGGAAUCACUGGGCGUAAAGGGCGCGUAGGCGGCCAGCACAAGUCAGUUGUGAAAUCUCCGAGCUUAACUCGGAAAGGUCAACUGAUACUGUGCGGCUAGAGUGCGGAAGGGGCAACUGGAAUUCUUGGUGUAGCGGUGAAAUGCGUAGAUAUCAAGAGGAACACCUGCGGCGAAGGCGGGUUGCUGGGCCGACACUGACGCUGAGGCGCGAAGGCCAGGGGAGCGAACGGG